Bison bison bison is the source of this 124-nucleotide small nucleolar RNA. Its record names the gene SNORA70. It matches the Rfam family "Small nucleolar RNA SNORA70". From Rfam's summary of the family: snoRNA U70 seems to be exclusive to mammals and is a member of the H/ACA class of snoRNA which contain H (ANANNA) and ACA box motifs. H/ACA box snoRNAs are involved in the conversion of uridines to pseudouridines (5-ribosyluracil) a constituent of structural RNAs (transfer, ribosomal, small nuclear, and small nucleolar). NCBI's taxonomy places the organism in Eukaryota, Metazoa, Chordata, Mammalia, Artiodactyla, Bovidae. The record is from Ensembl.
CUGUAGCGAACUAAGCCAACCAUGCUCUUUUCCCCAUGGGAGACCAGGGUGCAAUGGCCUCAAGCAGCCUUCCCAAUGGUGCAUGCUGCCGGUAUAACCUUCCUAAGUGACCUGAGAGACAAGC